GUUUGCACUUGUCGGGGAAGGGUGAGAACCUUCGAUUAAGGUUCGACUCGAGCGAAAGCGAGAGAACGUUGCCAACGGCAACGGCCCGAAGGGUAAGGAGCGAAGCGACGAAUAAUCCUUCCCCCACCACCA
This 132-nucleotide small RNA is filed under the name Citrobacter freundii. RNAcentral's name for it is "RtT sRNA". It matches the Rfam family "RtT RNA". From Rfam's summary of the family: This family represents a bacterial cis-regulatory element known as RtT RNA. The exact function of RtT is unknown although it is thought that it may be involved in changing the cellular response in relation to amino acid starvation. RNAcentral also lists the same sequence under 1 other name. The record is from RNAcentral. Lineage: Bacteria; Pseudomonadati; Pseudomonadota; Gammaproteobacteria; Enterobacterales; Enterobacteriaceae.